UUUUAAAAAGUGGCUUUGUGUGCUUUCUCUAUCCCUGAAAGUGGUCAAGUACUGCUCGACAUUCUUCAUUCUUGCUGUUGGUCAAUAUGUUGUACUUUUUUCUUUCAGAAAGGAUAAGUUCCUCUUUUGUCAGAUUUUGGUUGGAGAUAGAAGGAUAAGAAAUAGACCAUCAUGUCUCCAUUAGUCUAAACAUGAGACUUGUCAUCGUUUACACAAAAUCUGCCUUCACACCUGUAUUUGUGGCAGUGAACUAUCUGAACAGAGUCCUGAUUCUUACAUGUGCUGAACAGAUUCUCUUGAAGAUUAUUUCUUGUUACAAUUCCUAACUUUCAUUUGCAUUGGGAUUCUGUGUGAGAUAUGUUUUGGGGGCUCUCAAAGAUUUCUGGAAGAAGAAGACAAACUUGCCUUUGGGGGAUUCUGGAUUACUUGCAAUCUCACAAUUGCUAUGAGGUUUCCCACCCAGCAAGCUUCCUAGUUUUUCAGGGGUUCUUUCUUCUGGUUUGAUGUGCUUGUUUAAAAGACAAAA
This is a non-coding RNA of Solanum lycopersicum (tomato), 526 nucleotides long. NCBI's taxonomy places the organism in Eukaryota, Viridiplantae, Streptophyta, Magnoliopsida, Solanales, Solanaceae. The record is from RefSeq and is a predicted model, not a curated record.